RNAcentral lists this long non-coding RNA (789 nucleotides) under Gallus gallus (chicken). RNAcentral's name for it is "long non-coding RNA NONGGAT011637". Lineage: Eukaryota; Metazoa; Chordata; Aves; Galliformes; Phasianidae. The record is from RNAcentral.
CAGGAGACUAAAUUCUGGAGUUUCUCUGUACAACUGCAUUAUCCCCAUUGUUAUUUUAUUUCCCUCCAAUUUUUUACACAAAAUGUUUGCAGAGACUUUGUAUUUACUUCCAGAUAGCUGAGGAGACUUUAACAUCCCUGAGUCUGAUAAAGCUCCUGCAGAGCCCCACUGUAAACGCUCAUUUCAAGGAAGAUGUUGGCGGUUAUUCUGCACAAUGCACGCUCUGCUGAUGAAAUGAUGAUGGCCACACACGUGCAUGCUGAGCAUGGUCUGUGACAAAGCGCUGAGGGAUCAUGGGCUGUUCAGUCUGAGGAGCAAAAGCCACCGCCAUGAAACAAUUAAGUCCAUUGGGUAAAGAGAUCACCUGCCCCGCAGCAAAGAACAAACUCUUUCAUGUGCACUGUGAAUGGGAAAACAGGGGAACUCACAAGCCAGGUGAUGUGACCAGGCUUAGGAGUAGAAAUAUAAGCAUCAUCCCUGCAGGGGACCCAUUCUGCACUGAGCAGCAAUUGUCUAGAGGAAAUGUGACAAUACAAGGACAGAACACAGCUCACAAGCAGUUCAACUCCAAAUUUCACACAGAGGGCUUGGCAGGAGCCCAUCCAAAGCCACAGCUGUGGCAGGACGCAAGCCAGGAGCCACAAGUUGUACUGCUACCAGUGCUUUCCAGCCUCAUCCUGCCAUAUGUUAUCCAUUAUGUCCUGCAUGUCUCCACCACAGAGGGACUUUUUUUCCUUUUGCUUCCCUCAGAUCUCCAACAGUUUUGGUACAAGGUUCAGUAGAUGACAG